RNAcentral lists this ribosomal RNA (501 nucleotides) under uncultured bacterium. Its description in RNAcentral is "partial 16S ribosomal RNA". It matches the Rfam family "Bacterial small subunit ribosomal RNA", at positions 899 to 1397 of the family's 1533-position model. The record is from RNAcentral.
ACUCAAAUGAAUAGACGGGGGCCCGCACAAGCGGUGGAGCAUGUGGUUUAAUUCGACGCAACGCGAAGAACCUUACCUGGGCUCGAACGGCUCACGAGCGUCUCUGGAAACAGGGAUUUCCCGCAAGGGACGGGAGUCGAGGUGCUGCAUGGCUGUCGUCAGCUCGUGUCGUGAGAUGUUGGGUUAAGUCCCGCAACGAGCGCAACCCUUGUCCUGUGUUGCUAAUUCUGAAAAGGAUGCACUCUCAGGAGACCGCCAGCGAUAAGCUGGAGGAAGGUGGGGAUGACGUCAAGUCAUCAUGGCCUUUAUGUCCAGGGCUACACACGUGCUACAAUGGGCGGUACAAAGCGCCGCAAACCCGCAAGGGGGAGCAAAUCGCAAAAAACCGUUCUCAGUUCGGAUUGCAGGCUGCAACUCGCCUGCAUGAAGCUGGAAUCGCUAGUAAUGGCAUAUCAGAACGAUGCCGUGAAUACGUUCCCGGGCCUUGCACACACCGCCCGU